Paramuricea clavata is the source of this 291-nucleotide non-coding RNA. NCBI's taxonomy places the organism in Eukaryota, Metazoa, Cnidaria, Anthozoa, Malacalcyonacea, Plexauridae. The record is from the annotation of a GenBank genome assembly.
GUGACAAGUUAACUAACCUGUUACUUGAAAGAUAUCCAAGAUAAUCGUUUUCAAAGCUAUACUCUGUCACAAUGUCGGUAUGUUUUGGGAGCAAGAAUUUUCUUUCAAGUAAAUAUUUGCAACUCAUUACACGGCUGGUUGGUAUAUUUUAUUGUGCGUAUAAAUGGUUUAAUAGCAGGAGGUCAAGCUUUAUUGCUUGUAAUAUUUCUGCUUUUUGUGGGCGACAGUCAUUUAGUAUGAUCUAGAAAUAUUUUGAUCGAUGAGGAUACCAUCGACUAAAAUAGCAGUUCA